CCUACGGGAGGCAGCAGUGGGGAAUAUUGCACAAUGGGGGAAACCCUGAUGCAGCGACGCCGCGUGAGUGAAGAAGUAUCUCGGUACGUAAAGCUCCAUCUGCAGGGAAGAAAAUGACGGUACGUGACUAAGAAGCUCCGGCUAACUACGUGCCAGCAGCCGCGGUAACACGUAGGGGGCAAGCGUUAUCCGGAUUUACUGGGGGUAAAGGGAGCGUAGACGGGAGCACAAGUCUGGAGUGAAAUCCCGGGGCUUAACCCCGGAACUGCUUUGGAAACUGUGCGGCUGGAGUGCAGGAGGGGUAAGCGGAAUUCCUGGUGUAGCGGUGAAAUGCGUAGAUAUUAGGAGGAACACCGGUUGCGAAGGCGGCUUACUGGACUGUAACUGACGUUGAGGCUCGAAAGCGUGGGUAGCAAACAGGAUUAGAUACCCCAGUAGUC
RNAcentral lists this ribosomal RNA (440 nucleotides) under uncultured bacterium. RNAcentral describes it as "partial 16S ribosomal RNA". It matches the Rfam family "Bacterial small subunit ribosomal RNA", at positions 338 to 795 of the family's 1533-position model. The record is from RNAcentral.